Schistosoma mansoni is the source of this 78-nucleotide non-coding RNA. Lineage: Eukaryota; Metazoa; Platyhelminthes; Trematoda; Strigeidida; Schistosomatidae. The record is from Rfam.
AGCUUUCUGAACUCAUGCCAAGAUCUCAUCAAACACUAAACCAUCAGGACUGAUGAGACUUCCACGAUAAAAGAAGUG